GUACACUCCUGCGGGAGGCAGCAGUGGGGAAUUUUGGACAAUGGGCGAAAGCCUGAUCCAGCAAUGCCGCGUGUGUGAAGAAGGCCUUCGGGUUGUAAAGCACUUUUGUCCGGAAAGAAAUCCUUGGCUCUAAUACAGUCGGGGGAUGACGGUACCGGAAGAAUAAGCACCGGCUAACUACGUGCCAGCAGCCGCGGUAAUACGUAGGGUGCGAGCGUUAAUCGGAAUUACUGGGCGUAAAGCGUGCGCAGGCGGUUUGCUAAGACCGAUGUGAAAUCCCCGGGCUCAACCUGGGAACUGCAUUGGUGACUGGCAGGCUAGAGUAUGGCAGAGGGGGGUAGAAUUCCACGUGUAGCAGUGAAAUGCGUAGAGAUGUGGAGGAAUACCGAUGGCGAAGGCAGCCCCCUGGGCCAAUACUGACGCUCAUGCACGAAAGCGUGGUGAGCAAACAGGAUUAGAAACCCCGGUAGUCCC
Molecule: ribosomal RNA, 474 nt
Filed under: uncultured organism
Description: partial 16S ribosomal RNA
Rfam family: Bacterial small subunit ribosomal RNA
Source: RNAcentral